Molecule: ribosomal RNA, 496 nt
Filed under: uncultured bacterium
Lineage: Bacteria
Description: partial 16S ribosomal RNA
Rfam family: Bacterial small subunit ribosomal RNA
Source: RNAcentral
AUGAACGCUGGCGGCGUGCCUAAUACAUGCAAGUCGAGCGAACGGACGAGAAGCUUGCUUCUCUGAUGUUAGCGGCGGACGGGUGAGUAACACGUGGAUAACCUACCUAUAAGACUGGGAUAACUUCGGGAAACCGGAGCUAAUACCGGAUAAUAUUUUGAACCGCAUGGUUCAAAAGUGAAAGACGGUCUUGCUGUCACUUAUAGAUGGAUCCGCGCUGCAUUAGCUAGUUGGUAAGGUAACGGCUUACCAAGGCAACGAUGCAUAGCCGACCUGAGAGGGUGAUCGGCCACACUGGAACUGAGACACAGUCCAGACUCCUACGGGAGGCAGCAGUAGGGAAUCUUCCGCAAUGGGCGAAAGCCUGACGGAGCAACGCCGCGUGAGUGAUGAAGGUCUUCGGAUCGUAAAACUCUGUUAUUAGGGAAGAACAUAUGUGUAAGUAACUGUGCACAUCUUGACGGUACCUAAUCAGAAAGCCACGGCUAACUACGUG